Molecule: ribosomal RNA, 433 nt
Filed under: uncultured bacterium
Lineage: Bacteria
Description: partial 16S ribosomal RNA
Rfam family: Bacterial small subunit ribosomal RNA
Source: RNAcentral
AACGAACGCUGGCGGCAUGCCUAACACAUGCAAGUCGAACGAGACCUUCGGGUCUAGUGGCGCACGGGUGCGUAACGCGUGGGAACCUGCCCUUAGGUUCGGAAUAACUCCCCGAAAGGGGUGCUAAUACCGGAUAAUGUCUUCGGACCAAAGAUUUAUGGCCUUUGGAUGGGCCCGCGUUGGUUUAGCUAGUUGGUAGGGUAAAAGCCUACCAAGGCGACGAUCCAUAGCUGGUCUGAGAGGAUGAUAAGCCAGAAUGGGACUGAGGCACGGCCCAGACCGCUACGGGAGAGUGCGGAGUAGUGUAUAGUGGGAGGGAGCAAGAUGUAGAAACGCAGUGCGGCGUAAGUGGUGAAGCGGGUAGUAAAGUAAUUCUGUCUGUCCCGAGAUGAGAGUGACGGUACCGGGAAAAUAAGCACCGGCUAACUACGUG